Molecule: ribosomal RNA, 422 nt
Filed under: uncultured eukaryote
Lineage: Eukaryota
Description: SSU rRNA
Rfam family: Eukaryotic small subunit ribosomal RNA
Source: RNAcentral
CAAUAGCGUAUAUUAAAGUUGUUGCGGUUAAAAAGCUCGUAGUUGGAUUUCUGCCGAGGACGACCGGUCCGCCCUCUGGGUGAGUAUCUGGUUCGGCCUGGGCAUCUUCUUGGAGAACGUAUCAGCACUUGACUGUGUGGUGCGGUAUCCAGGACUUUUACUUUGAGGAAAUUAGAGUGUUUCAAGCAGGCACACGCCUUGAAUACAUUAGCAUGGAAUAAUGGAAUAGGACCCUGGUCCUAUUUUGUUGGUUUUGAGGACUAGAGUAAUGAUUAAUAGGGAUAGUUGGGGGCAUUCAUAUUUAAUUGUCAGAGGUGAAAUUCUUGGAUUUAUGAAAGAUGAACUUCUGCGAAAGCAUUUGCCAAGGAUGUUUUCAUUAAUCAAGAACGAAAGUUAGGGGAUCGAAGAUGAUCAGAUACCAU